AUGUGUUGCUGCCAUGCUAUGUUGUCGUCUUAGGUCUCUUUAUGUAGUGGUGUGUUUUGUCCUAUAUUUUAUUUAACUUGCCUAAUUAAAUAAAGGUUAAAUAAAAGAAAUACAACUAUAACCCGCCAAAUGAGAGCAUUUUUGGGAACGGCAGGUUACUGUCGUCAGUGAAUUCCUGACUAUUCCAUCCUUGCUUCUGGUCUCAAGAGCUACCUUAAAAACUCAGCCUUCAAGGUCACAGGACGAAUAUGAGUGUGAACAACAUUUUGUGCCGUGACCCAGAUGAGCAACCUGACCUCUUGACCCUUUUCACUCAGCUAAGACCCAGGCAUCCCUCUGGCCACAACUAAUAAGAGAGGCCACACUCCAUCCCUGUCUUCACCAUCUGGACAUCAUCUUUGUGGUGCUUCAGUGCUGUCAAGGAGCCUGCAGGUGUUUCCCUACCCAGGAAGGCCCCAAUGUGCUGGGUGAUGCCCCCUGCUUCCCCCGCAGCCACCUGGCUCUUCCUAAGGCUGUCCAGCAGAGUGGUCUUUCCGUGAUCUACGUGGCCCAUUAUGGUGACGACAGGAGGACGAGACACCAGGACGGCCGGAUCUGGUGGAGCUCUAGAAUAAACAUUGAUUUACAUUCA
Long non-coding RNA from Salmo salar (Atlantic salmon), 631 nucleotides. RefSeq lists it as uncharacterized. The record is from RefSeq and is a predicted model, not a curated record. Lineage: Eukaryota; Metazoa; Chordata; Actinopteri; Salmoniformes; Salmonidae.